GACGAACGCUGGCGGCGUGCUUAACACAUGCAAGUCGAACGGAAAGGCCCCUUUGGGGGUCCUCGAGUGGCGCACGGGUGAGUAACACGUGAGUAACCUGCCCUUGACUUCGGGAUAACUUCAGGAAACUGGGGCUAAUACCGGAUAGGAAUCCUUGCUGCAUGGUGGGGGUUGGAAAGCUUCGGCGGUUUUGGAUGGACUCGCGGCUUAUCAGCUUGUUGGUGGGGUAGUGGCUUACCAAGGCUUUGACGGGUAGCCGGCCUGAGAGGGCGACCGGCCACAUUGGGACUGAGAUACGGCCCAGACUCCUACGGGAGGCAGCAGUGGGGAAUAUUGCACAAUGGGCGGAAGCCGGAUGCAGCAACGCCGCGUGCGGGAGGACGGCCUUCGGGUUGUAAACCGCUUUCAGCAGGGGCGAAGCUUGUGGUGACGGUACCUGCAGAAGAAGCACCGGCUAACUACGUG
RNAcentral lists this ribosomal RNA (465 nucleotides) under uncultured bacterium. RNAcentral describes it as "partial 16S ribosomal RNA". It matches the Rfam family "Bacterial small subunit ribosomal RNA", at positions 28 to 507 of the family's 1533-position model. The record is from RNAcentral.